CACGGGGGGAGCAAGCGUUGUUCGGAAUCACUGGGCGUAAAGGGCGUGUAGGCGGUCAGGUAAGUGAAAUGUGAAAUGCCUCGGCUCACCCGAGGACCGGCAUCUCAUACUGCUUGGCUUGAGUACGGGAGAGGAUGUGGGAAUUCCUGGUGUAGCGGUGAAAUGCGUAGAUAUCAGGAGGAACACCGGUGGCGAAGGCGCACAUCUGGCCCGAUACUGACGCUGAUGCGCGAAAGCUAGGGGAG
RNAcentral lists this ribosomal RNA (245 nucleotides) under uncultured bacterium. RNAcentral's name for it is "partial 16S ribosomal RNA". It matches the Rfam family "Bacterial small subunit ribosomal RNA", at positions 524 to 768 of the family's 1533-position model. The record is from RNAcentral.